CCUACGGGAGGCAGCAGUAAGGGAUAUUGGUCAAUGGGGGAAACCCUGAACCAGCAACGCCGCGUGAGGGAAGACGGUUUUCGGAUUGUAAACCUCUGUCCUCUGUGAAGAUGAUGACGGUAGCAGUGGAGGAAGCUCCGGCUAACUACGUGCCAGCAGCCGCGGUAAUACGUAGGGAGCGAGCGUUGUCCGGAUUUACUGGGUGUAAAGGGUGCGUAGGCGGAAUGCCAAGUCAGCGGUAAAAUCGCGGGGCUCAACCUCGCUCCGCCGUUGAAACUGGCGUUCUUGAGUGGGCGAGAAGUAUGCGGAAUGCGUGGUGUAGCGGUGAAAUGCAUAGAUAUCACGCAGAACUCCGAUUGCGAAGGCAGUAUACCGGCGCCCAACUGACGCUGAAGCACGAAAGCGUGGGUAUCGAACAGGAUUAGAUACCCUGGUAGUC
Molecule: ribosomal RNA, 439 nt
Filed under: uncultured bacterium
Lineage: Bacteria
Description: partial 16S ribosomal RNA
Rfam family: Bacterial small subunit ribosomal RNA
Source: RNAcentral